This 894-nucleotide ribosomal RNA is filed under the name uncultured bacterium. RNAcentral's name for it is "bacterial SSU rRNA". It matches the Rfam family "Bacterial small subunit ribosomal RNA", at positions 8 to 916 of the family's 1533-position model. The record is from RNAcentral.
AGAGUUUGAUCCUGGCUCAGGACGAACGCUGGCGGCGUGCUUAACACAUGCAAGUCGAGCGGUAAGGCCCUUCGGGGUACACGAGCGGCGAACGGGUGAGUAACACGUGAGCAAUCUGCCCUUCACUUUGGGAUAACCACCGGAAACGGUGGCUAAUACCGGAUACGACCAUCCCAGGCAUCUGGUGGUGGUGGAAAGUUCUGGCGGUGGAGGAUGAGCUCGCGGCCUAUCAGCUUGUUGGUGGGGUAAUGGCCUACCAAGGCGACGACGGGUAGCCGGCCUGAGAGGGUGACCGGCCACACUGGGACUGAGACACGGCCCAGACUCCUACGGGAGGCAGCAGUGGGGAAUAUUGGACAAUGGGCGAAAGCCUGAUCCAGCAACGCCGCGUGAGGGAUGACGGCCUUCGGGUUGUAAACCUCUUUCAGUAGGGACGAAGCUAACGUGACGGUACCUACAGAAGAAGCACCGGCCAACUACGUGCCAGCAGCCGCGGUAAUACGUAGGGUGCGAGCGUUGUCCGGAAUUAUUGGGCGUAAAGGGCUCGUAGGCGGUUUGUCACGUCGGGAGUGAAAACUCGGGGCUUAACCCCGAGCCUGCUUCCGAUACGGGCUGACUAGAGGUAUGCAGGGGAGAACGGAAUUCCUGGUGUAGCGGUGAAAUGCGCAGAUAUCAGGAGGAACACCGGUGGCGAAGGCGGUUCUCUGGGCAUUACCUGACGCUGAGGAGCGAAAGUGUGGGGAGCGAACAGGAUUAGAUACCCUGGUAGUCCACACCGUAAACGUUGGGCGCUAGGUGUGGGACUCAUUCCACGAGUUCCGUGCCGCAGCUAACGCAUUAAGCGCCCCGCCUGGGGAGUACGGCCGCAAGGCUAAAACUCAAAGGAAUUGAUGG